Molecule: ribosomal RNA, 281 nt
Filed under: uncultured prokaryote
Description: partial 16S ribosomal RNA
Rfam family: Bacterial small subunit ribosomal RNA
Source: RNAcentral
UACGUAGGGGCAAGCGUUGUCCGGAAUAAUUGGGCGUAAAGGGCGCGUAGGCGGCAAGGCAAGUCAGCAGUGGAAGUCCCAUUUUCAAGGUGGGGAGGGCUGUUGAAACUGCGUUGCUUGAGUGUAGGAGAGGUUAUCGGAAUUCCCGGUGUAGCGGUGAAAUGCGUAGAGAUCGGGAGGAACACCAGUGGCGAAGGCGGGUAACUGGACUGCAACUGACGCUGAGGCGCGAAAGUGUGGGGAGCAAACCGGAUUAGAUACCCGGGUAGUCCCUGAGCGGG